Mustela erminea (ermine) is the source of this 274-nucleotide long non-coding RNA. RefSeq lists it as uncharacterized. The record is from RefSeq and is a predicted model, not a curated record. Lineage: Eukaryota; Metazoa; Chordata; Mammalia; Carnivora; Mustelidae. The transcript has 2 exons.
GGCUUAACCCACUGAGCCAUCCAGGCGCCCCGCUACUGGGAAAAGAGAACCAGAGAGCACAAGCAUGGGCAGGAGGAGGAGGUGGUGCGGACGUGGAGCUGGCAAUGGCAGAAGGGAGAAGCAGACUCCCCACCAAGCAGGGAGCCCAACGUGGGACUUAAUCCCAGGACUCUGGGAUCAUGACCUGAGCCAAAGACCUACACUUAAUGAACUGAUCCACCAGACACCCCUGAUCAUGAUCUUUUUUAUCUAAUUUUUUUAUUAGGAAGCGUUC